GAAAGAAGGAAGAAAAAACCCGGACCGGGCCGCCUGGCCACCCUUUGUGCGGGUGUCCGCUCCCCAGGCUCCGAAAGCCUUGCCAGCCCUUGUGAUCGGGUGGCACCGCCCACCAGGCGCGUGAAAGAAAGAAGAAAAGAAGAAAAAACCCGGACCGGGCCGCCUGGCCACCCUUUGUGCGGGUGUCCGCUCCCCAGGCUCCGAAAGCCUUGCCAGCCCUUGUGAUCGGGUGGCACCGCCCACCAGGCGUGUGAAAGAAAGAAGAAAAGAAG
Long non-coding RNA from Astatotilapia calliptera (eastern happy), 272 nucleotides. The record is from Ensembl. Lineage: Eukaryota; Metazoa; Chordata; Actinopteri; Cichliformes; Cichlidae.